Molecule: small nucleolar RNA, 135 nt
Filed under: Jaculus jaculus (lesser Egyptian jerboa)
Lineage: Eukaryota; Metazoa; Chordata; Mammalia; Rodentia; Dipodidae
Description: Small nucleolar RNA SNORA70 (ENSJJAG00000007095.1)
Rfam family: Small nucleolar RNA SNORA70
About the family: snoRNA U70 seems to be exclusive to mammals and is a member of the H/ACA class of snoRNA which contain H (ANANNA) and ACA box motifs. H/ACA box snoRNAs are involved in the conversion of uridines to pseudouridines (5-ribosyluracil) a constituent of structural RNAs (transfer, ribosomal, small nuclear, and small nucleolar).
Source: Rfam by way of RNAcentral
CUGUAGCCAAUUAGGCCGACCAGGUUCCUUUCCUCAUGGAGACCUGGUGUGCAAUGGCUACAAACAAUGGGCUCCUUGGCAGUGGACGUAGCCUGUUUCCUGUACAGGUUACACUAAGGGACCCUGGAGACAUAU